RNAcentral lists this ribosomal RNA (841 nucleotides) under uncultured bacterium. RNAcentral describes it as "bacterial SSU rRNA". It matches the Rfam family "Bacterial small subunit ribosomal RNA", at positions 660 to 1501 of the family's 1533-position model. The record is from RNAcentral.
GGUGGAAUUCCCGGUGUAGCGGUGAAAUGCGUAGAGAUCGGGAGGAAUACCAGUGGCGAAGGCGGCCUUCUGGACUGACACUGACGCUGAGGCGCGAAAGCGUGGGUAGCAAACAGGAUUAGAUACCCUGGUAGUCCACGCCGUAAACGAUGUCGACCAGCCGUUGGACCCCUUGAGGGUCUGGUGGCGCAGUUAACGCAAUAAGUCGACCGCCUGGGGAGUACGGCCGCAAGGCUAAAACUCAAAUGAAUUGACGGGGGCCCGCACAAGCGGUGGAGCAUGUGGUUUAAUUCGAUGCAACGCGAAGAACCUUACCUGCCCUUGACAUCCUGCGAACCCGGAAGAGAUUCCGGGGUGCCUUCGGGAACGCAGAGACAGGUGCUGCAUGGCUGUCGUCAGCUCGUGUUGUGAAAUGUUGGGUUAAGUCCCGUAACGAGCGCAACCCCUAUCCCUUUUUGCCAGCGGUCCGGCCGGGAACUUCAGGGAGACUGCCGGUGACAAACCGGAGGAAGGUGGGGACGACGUCAAGUCAUCAUGGCCCUUACGGGCAGGGCUACACACGUGCUACAAUGGCCGGUACAAAGGGUUGCGAAGCGGCGACGUGAAGCCAAUCCCAUAAAGCCGGCCUCAGUCCGGAUCGGAGUCUGCAACUCGACUCCGUGAAGUCGGAAUCGCUAGUAAUCGUGGAUCAGAAUGCCACGGUGAAUACGUUCCCGGGCCUUGUACACACCGCCCGUCACACCAUGGGAGUGGACUGCACCAGAAGUGGUUAGCUUAACCUUCGGGAGAGCGAUCACCACGGUGUGGUUCAUGACUGGGGUGAAGUCGUAACAAGGUAACC